This 475-nucleotide ribosomal RNA is filed under the name uncultured bacterium. RNAcentral's name for it is "bacterial SSU rRNA". It matches the Rfam family "Bacterial small subunit ribosomal RNA", at positions 8 to 474 of the family's 1533-position model. The record is from RNAcentral.
AGAGUUUGAUCAUGGCUCAGGAUUAACGCUGGCGGCAUGCCUAAUACAUGCAAGUCGAACGAACGAACCUUCGGGUAAGUUAGUGGCGAACGGGUGAGGAACACGUAAGAAACCUGCCUUACAGACGAGGAUAACCAUUGGAAACGAUGGCUAAUACUGGAUAGGAUAUAAAACCACAUGGUUUAAUAUUUAAAGAUGCUUUCGGGCAUUACUGUAUGAUGGUCUUGCGUAGCAUUAGCUAGUUGGUAGGGUAACGGCCUACCAAGGCGACGAUGCUUAGCUGGUCUGAGAGGACGAACAGCCACACUGGGACUGAGACACGGCCCAGACUCCUACGGGAGGCAGCAGUAGGGAAUUUUCGGCAAUGGGCGCAAGCCUGACCGAGCAAUGCCGCGUGAAUGAUGAAGGCCUUCGGGUCGUAAAAUUCUGUUAUCAAGGAAGAACAUAUAGUGUAGGAAAUGACAUUAUACUGACG